Long non-coding RNA from Oncorhynchus kisutch (coho salmon), 5514 nucleotides. Lineage: Eukaryota; Metazoa; Chordata; Actinopteri; Salmoniformes; Salmonidae. The record is from Ensembl.
AUGAUGACCAACAAGAGAUCCAUAACGCGAGCCACAACGGAGGACUUAAAGUAUCCAUUGAAGCGUGAAGUAAAUUCUAUUGCCAAACGACUGGUAGAAUAUUACCAUAUGCUGCGGGACAAUUCGGUGCAUUAUAAAUAUGAAUGGGAAACUGUCUCCAGACUACUGAUGAAGCGAUUACAGAAUGUGCGGACCCCUCAAAAGACCAAGGGCAGAAAGCCCAAGGCUGCUACACUUGGAAAGAAGAUCAAGGGCCAUACACCUGAAUGGGAGAAGAGAAGAGAAGAGAAGGCAAGGCGCCUUGAGUUUGGAUCUGGACCGAUCGACAGCAUCCGUGAUGCAUUAACUGAUGACUAUCACUGCAGUUCUAGUGGCUCCACGGUGUUUCUUGACAAGUCCCAAUUUAGAUCCAGCAACCCAGAGAGUGAAGAGCAGGUUGAUGGUAAUGAAGCAUGUGCUGCGGUUGCUGUGCCAGGCCUGAGCCAACCCCCUCUGGAGCAGCAGCUCUAUGUGAGCCGGGCUCUGCUGCUGUGUGUGACUGAGUGAUGCAGAGCUACAGUAGCUACGCUCAGGUAACACCCCUAAUAUUACGGCACAGUAUUGUCACACGGUCAGAGCUGUUCAUACUACUUUCUGACCUGUCUGCCUCUUGAGUUAUAUAUUCAUUUUUCCUAGGAAAACGACGAUAAACAUUUUGUUAUGGGAAGUGUCCAUGUAGUCCCACCUUGUUGAAGUCUGUUUUCUUCUGUUUUGUGCCUAAUGAUCACAACCCUAAUGUCUUUUCCCAUGUCAGAGUUACUGCAGGUCAUGCUGGGCGGGAUACAGAGCCACCUGGAUAGCAGCGUAGUGCAUGUGAGGGGCAUGGUGGUUGGGGGGUGUCUCCGCUCCUGCAUGGACAUCAACAGAGCCAAGCUCAAACUCGAGGUAUACUAUAGUAUGGCACCUGAAGUGGCUUAUAUUCUGUUCUCUGCUUAUACUGCUCUGAAUGAACUGGAUGGGUGAAUACAAAUACCAUAAUGCUUUCACCUAUCUGCUGUUCAGAUCAGUGCAAAUGAAAGGAGAUCGAGGAAGCCACUGUAGACUAUUGAAGUGCACCUCUACAAUAAGCUUUGCCUGCCUUAUUAUGAUUAAUGUGUAGGACACAGGGAAGGGUGUGUGUUCAGUGUUUCUUUCCCUCAGGAUGAGGAGACCAAGGAGCUGCUCUCACUGAUGACUCCACUUUCUGAUGAAGAAACGGAGCCACUUGAUGACAGAUUGGCUCGUCCUCGAGGUCAAAGCCAUCACAGGCUGCUUCAGUGGCCCAGAAAUCAGGAGCUGACCCAGACUCUUGUUAUACACUACAUUUAUUAACAUAAUGUUGUCUAUGAGACUGAAGUUGUAUAUUUAAUUCAAAUCAUUACAACUUAAUGAAUCUUCCCACGGGCAGUUAAGGCAUGGUAUGGAGCUCACCAACUUGUAGUCCUAAAAAACAUAAAUGCUUCAAAAAUCACAAAUUUAGAUUAAUUGAUGAAGAUUAUUUCAUUGAGGAGAACAUAUACGAUCUCCUAAGCCUGUGUUUACCACAGACCUUAUUUUCGGUGUUUAUCCAAAAACGCCAUUAAUUUCCCCAUAACCUUGUCCAACGAACCAUGGUGGAGUUAGUGCCUACAAAAAGAUGCCAUUUUUAUUUCUCUCUACAGUAGUGUUGUAUUAACUAGGCUCUAUGUCCCUGUCCUGUGUUUGUAUGAACCAGUGAUGAUUCGCUCACCCCCUACUGACCAGGAGAUGAGAUUAGCCACCUUGCUACCCCUGAGACAGUCUUGGAGAGUAAGAUACAGUAAAAACAGUACAUUCGGAAAGUAUUCAGACCCCUUCCCCAUUUCGUUAUAGCCUUAUUCUAAAAUGGAUUAAAUGAAACAUUGGACUCUGCAAGGUGUUGAAAGUGUUCCACAGGGAUGCUGGCCCAUGUUGACUCCAAUGCUUCCCACAGUUGUCAAGUUGUUUGGCUGGCCUUUUGGUGAUGGAUCUUUCUUGAUACACACAGGAAACCGUUGAGUGCAGGGUACUUGAAUUAAAAUGAGCAGAACAGAACAUGAUCAAAUAUGUUAUUUCCUUACUAGUUUUCCUUUCACCACAAUGGCACUCAGCCAGGCAGGUACAGAAUUGAUUGAUUAAGCGCUGACAAACAUCACAUCGAUAGCUAAAAGGCCGGGCAAAUGUAGAUGUAUUCCUGGCAGGAUACUGAUGUUAAUGAAUGGGUUUUGCCAGACAACCAGGGAUGUAGUGGAGCGUGAACGCCAUUUACGCACGUUUUUACUUGUGAAAUAGCGUUUACUCACCUUUUUAAAUGUAUUUUUGUAUUAUUGUUUACCCACUUAUUAUUACGUUCCCAGCAUUGAUCAACGCUCAGAAGGAUUGUUGAUCAGAGUUCUAACCUCAGCAGGAGCAGUUGACUGAAAUUAAGAUGGCUUAUACAAUUUCUCUUAACAAAAUACAUUUUAUUUACAGAGGGUAGUGAGACAGGGAGCGGUAAGUCAGGCUGCAAUGAAGGAGGCAAAGGAAGAUCCAAAGAGAAAGCGUUGAAGCAAGCAGGGACGGAGGACAGUAUUACAGUUGUACCCAAACUUGGGGUCCCCAACAUUUUUAAAUAGGUCCCCUGAGAGUUCUUAAUCUUAUUAAACACAUUAAUAACUUGUAUCUCUUCAAAUGGGUAUAGAAUGCAACAUUUUAGUCAACUAAAUGAAGGGCAUUUUACACAGUCAGAAUUCGUCAUUGUGUUGGGACAGCUUGUGGGACCCAACAUGUUGACUUAUGAAGACAAUUUAAAUAUUAUCAUGUAAACUGAACAAAAAUAUAAAUGCAACAUGCAAAAAUUUCUAAUAUUAUACUGGGUUAGUUCAUAUGAGAAAAUCAGUCAACAUCAUCAGUACUGACUUACCACUCUUGUGUAGUAAAAAUAAGUAGUGAAAUGUAUUAUUGAGUAGAACUUGUAAGGUAGUGAUGGUGGUUUUUUCAUGUGGUUGAUAUACUGCAAUCUGGUGGCGACGAAAAACAUUUGCAUAAUAGGAACUAUUACAAAUUGAUGAUCCUUGAAAAUAAAUAUUAGUGCUUAAAAGACUGCAGCAUUGCAGUUCUUGACACAAACCGGUGUGCCUGGCACCUACUACCAUACCCCGUUCAAAGGCACUUUAAUCUUUUGCCUUGGCCAUUCACCCUCUGAAUGGCACACAUACACAAUCCAUGUCUCAAGGAUAUAACAUCAAUAAGGGAUCAUAGCGUUCACCUGGUCAGUCUGUCGUGGUGUCCACAACGUUUUGUACACUUAGUGUACAUACCAUGCACAGUUUUGACAAUGUGGAUGAUACAUACUGAAUUUAUACUGAAUUUAUACUGUUUUUCAUACUAAGAUGUGUUGCUUUUUCACAUAUUUGUUAAUUGGUUUUGCAAGAGUUGGUUGAUGGGUCAGUUGGUUUUUGAAUAUGUUGAUGCCAUUUUUUUAUUUUUUAUCUUUAUUUUACUAGGCAAGUCAGUUAAGAACAAAUUCUUAUUUUCAUUGACUAAGAAUAGAAUGCAAUGUCCACCCCAAAAUAUAAGCUUGUUUUACUCCAUUGUUUGUAAACAAUAUAAUUGUACAAAUAAAUUGUUGGUUGCAUAAAUAAUGACUAAAUGUUACAUGAAAUGUAAUUAAGAAAUAUUUAAACCGAAUGAAAACCCCUAUGUUUAAUAUGUAUUGGCAAUAAUUCACUUAAUGGUGAGGCAUAGAAUAAUACAUGUCUUUUCUCACACUGGAUGUUUAAAAUAUGAGCAGGUCAUGCUUCUUUAGUAGUGGAAUAAUGACAAUUAGCACUUGAAUGUUCUUAAUACUGUGUACUUACUGAAUUGAUGUGUGAUUAUUAAUACAAUUGUUCAUUGACUCAUUUGAUACUGUGAUACUGUUUCCAUUUGAAUGAAACUACAUUGAAAUUACUUUGUUCAAGUCAUUGAAAUGACCUGAAAACACUAACUUUCAACUGAAAGUAGGAUAUUAGGAAGAUGUUCUUGAUGUUUUGUACACAAUGUAUACUGUCCAAAAUGUAUCCUUGCCAUAAGUGUCCCCAUGGCAUACUACAAACAGUGCCUUCCGGAAAGUAUUCAGACCCCUUGACUUUUUCCACAAUUUGUUACGUUACAGCCUUAUUCUGAAAUUAAAUAGUCCCCCCCCCCCUCAAACUACACACAGUACCCCAUAAUGACAAAGCAAAAGCAGGUUUAGAAUUUUUGCAAAUGUAUUAUAAAUAACAAAAACUAUCACAUUUACAUAAGUAUUCAGUACUUUGUUGAAGGGACUUUGGCAGCGAUUACAGCAUCAAGUCUUGGGUAUGACGUUACAAGCACCUCCUGCAUUGUCUUGGCUGUGUGCUUAGGGUUGUUGUCCCGUUGGAAGGUGAACCUUCACCAAAGUCGGAGGUCCUGAGCGCUCUGGAGCAGGUCUUCACCAAGGAUCUCUGUACUUUGCACCGUUCAUCUUAACCUCGAUCCUGACUAGUCUCCCAGUUCACGCCACUGAAAAACAUCCCCACAGCAUGAUGCUGCCACCACCAUGCUUCACCAUAGGGAUGGUUUUGGCCAGGUGAUGAGCGGUGCCUGGUUUCCUCCAGAUGUGAUGCUUGGCAUUGAGGCCAAAGAGUUCAAUCUUGGUUUCAUCAGACUAGAGUCUUGUUUCUCAUGGUCUUAGGUGCCUUUUGGCAAACUCCAAGCGGGCUGUCAUGUGCCUUUUACUGAGGAGUGGCUUCCGUCUGGUCACUCUACCAUAUAGGCUUGAUAGGUAGAGUGCUGCAUAGAUGGUUGUCCUUCUAGAAGGUUCUCCCAUCUCCACAGAGGAACUCUGGAGUGCUAUCAGAGUGACCAUCUGGUUAUUGGUCACCUCCCGGAGGCCCUUCUCCCCUAAUUGCUCAGUUUAGCAGGGAGGCCAGCUCUAGAAGAGUCUUGGUGGUUCUAAACUUCCAUUUAAGAAUGAUCAAGGCCACUGUGUUCUUGAGGGACCUACAAUGCUGCGUAAUCUUUUUGGUACCCUUCCCCAGUUCUGUGGCUCGUCACAAUCCUGUCUCGGAACUCUACGGAGAAUUACUUCGACCUCAGCUUGGUUUUUGCUCUGACAUGCACUGUCAACUGUGGGACCUUUAUAUUAGACAGGUCAUGUCCAAUCAGUCAAAUUUCUCAGGUGGCUCCAAUAAAGUUUAUUAAAGGAUGAUCAUUGGGAAACAGGAUGCAUCUGAGCUCAAUUUCGAGUCUCCUAGCAAAGCGUCUGAAUCGUUAUGUCAAUAACGACAGGGUAGCCUAGUGGUUAGAGCGUUGGACUAGUAACCGAAAGGUUGCAAGUUCAAAUCCCCAAGCUGACAAGGUACAAAUCUGUCGUUCUGCCCCUGAACAGGCAGUUGUCCUAGGAACAGUAGGUUAUCAUUGAAAAUAAGAAUUUGUUCUUAACUGACUUGCCUAGUAAAAUAAAGGUUAAAAAAAAUAUUUUUAAAAAUAAGGUAUUUGCAAACAUUUCUGAAC